GGGACCUUAAGUUAGAUAGACUGUUGGCCUUCAAAGUCGGAAGAGUAACUUCGCGGUUACAGGUUUCG
This 68-nucleotide transfer RNA is filed under the name Anadara antiquata. Its description in RNAcentral is "tRNA-Trp". The record is from RNAcentral. Lineage: Eukaryota; Metazoa; Mollusca; Bivalvia; Arcoida; Arcidae.